UAAAUAAGCAUUAGUAUAUUUAAUAUCCUGGUAUCACACCCAUUCCAACCACAAGUUGGCUAUCCACUUACGCAACACAUUAAUAACCUAUAACAAGUUAAUGCAUUACAUGGUAAAAAAAAAUCAGCAAAUAAUGUGACAAGGAAAUGAUGUGAAAUCUAACCCAUAUUUGGCAACUCACACACACAUAACUAUUAACACAACAUACAGCUCACAAAUGUAAUACACAAUUAUUAAGAAUACAGCAAAUGAGGUACACCAUUUUCACACUUUUUUGGCCAUCAGCUGGCCACACACCCACACAAAGUUGAUCCACACACCAGAAAUAGCAACCCAUGUUUCUUUAGCAAUGUUUUAAGUUUAACACCAUAGUCCCCUAGAAGGCUGUUUAAUUCCUCUCCCUUUUUUUGCCUUGUAACCUUUCCAUUUAUUCCCAUAU
This 439-nucleotide long non-coding RNA is filed under the name Carica papaya (papaya). RNAcentral describes it as "long non-coding RNA (CPAP_LNC000286)". The record is from RNAcentral. Lineage: Eukaryota; Viridiplantae; Streptophyta; Magnoliopsida; Brassicales; Caricaceae.